RNAcentral lists this ribosomal RNA (646 nucleotides) under Bensingtonia naganoensis. RNAcentral's name for it is "eukaryotic LSU rRNA". The stretch from base 201 to 356 matches the Rfam family "5.8S ribosomal RNA". Lineage: Eukaryota; Fungi; Basidiomycota; Agaricostilbomycetes; Agaricostilbales; Kondoaceae. The record is from RNAcentral.
UCUGUAGGUGAACCUGCAGAUGGAUCAUUUAAGAGUUAGGGCGCUCGCAAGAGGCCUGCCACUCAUUACAAACACAUGUGAACUAGAAACCGAGGAAGCUUAAUAAGGGACUUCACUGUCUCUUUGCCAGCCCCUUACCAAAAACACUUUGUAUUAAAACUUAGGAUGAUGAUGUCAAUACUAUUGAAAAACGAAUGUAAAACUUUCAGCAACGGAUCUCUUGGCUCUCCCAUCGAUGAAGAACGCAGCGAAAUGCGAUACGUAAUGUGAAUUGCAGAUCUACCCUGAAUCAUCGAAUUUUUGAACGCAUCUUGCGCUCUUUGGUUAUUCCGAAGAGCAUGCCUGUUUGAGUGUCGCGAACCUCUCAACCCCGCCUAUGCUUGCAUAGGUUGUUAGGGCUUGGAUCAUGGUUGUUGCCGGCUUGUAUUAGCCUUGGCUCAACUCAAAUACAACAAGUUGAAUAGAUCAGUCCUGCGGCUUGUACCCAAUGUUGUAGACAAAACAUCUCGUUGGGGACGCUUGACUAUAGUCGUGUCUAAUGAACUUAAGAAGUGUGAUUUGGGCUUGUACCUUAUCCAUUUUUGCAAUCAGACCUCAAAUCAGGUAGGACUACCCGCUGAACUUAAGCAUAUCAAUAAGCGGAGGA